Vitis vinifera (wine grape) is the source of this 1007-nucleotide long non-coding RNA. RefSeq lists it as uncharacterized. The transcript has 2 exons. The record is from RefSeq and is a predicted model, not a curated record. Lineage: Eukaryota; Viridiplantae; Streptophyta; Magnoliopsida; Vitales; Vitaceae.
UAUCACCAAAAUUUCAAAGAAAGGAAAGUGGCAGAUUUUUUUGGUAGGAGAAAGGAAAGUUUCCUUUUGGAAAAAGGGAGAUAGAAUAAAAGAAAAUAUUGGGGGGAAUUUUUAAAAGGGGGGACUUUCAACAUGCAUGGGGAAUGGGAGGAGAAAGAAAAGAUUUUUCAUUGCUUUCGGUGAGAAGACAAAAAACUGGUGUCCAUCGGUCUUUGGGGGUUUUUGGAGAAAUAAAACCUAUCCCGCUUGAAGCUGAGCAAUACUUCUCAAAGAAUCAAAGGUCGAAGCUGUUUCUUAUGUACUCGAGUGUCCAGUGAUAGUGUUCAUCAACUCCAAAAGCAGAGGAUCCAACUAGCGAGGGCAAUAUAUAAUGAUUCAGAUGUGUAUUUUCUAGAUGAUCCCUUUAGUGCAGUAGAUGCACAUACAACUGCAAUUCUUUUCUAUGAAUGCGUCAUGGCUGCCCUUGCUCAUAAAAUCGUCAUUCUAGUGACUCAUCAAGUGGAAUUUCUCUCUGAAGUCAAUAAAAUUCUGGUUGUGGAAGCUGGACAGAUAACUCAAUCAGGAAGCUAUGAGGAGCUCUUGACAUCCGGGACAACAUUUGAGCAGCUUGUAAAUGCAUAUAAGAAUGCAAUAACAAUACUGGAAUUUCCAAAUGAUGUACAAGUAGAACCUCAAAAAUUGAAUCAGAAUCUACUAGAGAAGUCUCAUGGAUUUCUCUCCACCAAAGAAAACAGCGAAUGAGAGAUUUCUAUGAAGGGAUUGCCUGGGGUUCAGCUCACCGAAGAAGAAAAAACAUAGAUUGGUGAUGUUCGGUAGAAGCCACAAUCUUGAAUCAUUAUUGUAUAGGGAAUAGAAUCUUGUUGCUGAUACAUUUUCAAUUUUAACUGUUACAACAGCAUCUGAAGCUAUUAUAUCUUGUGUUCUUAAGUUUAUUGAGAACCUGUUGAACCUUGAUAACGAAUUGGAUGAUGAAGACAUCACUAUCAAAAAGUUUCUACUUCCAAACA